This is a non-coding RNA of Pelobates cultripes (western spadefoot toad), 206 nucleotides long. NCBI's taxonomy places the organism in Eukaryota, Metazoa, Chordata, Amphibia, Anura, Pelobatidae. The record is from the annotation of a GenBank genome assembly.
CUGUCAUGACAAACCAAAGAAAAAAGGAAGACCUUCUCUGAUGGCACGCAAAUUCUGAGGCAGAAAAAUAUCAAUUACCGCUUGGGAUUCCCAACGAGAAUUAUUAUAACCCACAAAGGGAAGACCACCACAUUUAAUUAUGCAGAAGACUUAUGAAGCUGGUUAAACAAAAAAAAUAAUAGUGGAUCAAUGAGUUAACAAUUUCU